GUCCACGCCGUAAAACGAUGGAUACUAGCUGUUGGGCGCAAGUUCAGUGGCUAAGCGAAAGUGAUAAGUAUCCCACCUGGGGAGUACGUUCGCAAGAAUGAAACUCAAAGGAAUUGACGGGGGCCCGCACAAGAGGUGGAGCAUGUGGUUUAAUUCGAUGAUACGCGAGGAACCUUACCAAGGCUUAAAUGUAGAUUGACCGGUUUUGGAAACAGAUCUUUCGCAAGACAAUUUACAAGGUGCUGCAUGGUUGUCGU
Molecule: ribosomal RNA, 257 nt
Filed under: uncultured bacterium
Lineage: Bacteria
Description: partial 16S ribosomal RNA
Rfam family: Bacterial small subunit ribosomal RNA
Source: RNAcentral